Molecule: ribosomal RNA, 530 nt
Filed under: uncultured Flavobacterium sp.
Lineage: Bacteria; Pseudomonadati; Bacteroidota; Flavobacteriia; Flavobacteriales; Flavobacteriaceae
Description: bacterial SSU rRNA
Rfam family: Bacterial small subunit ribosomal RNA
Source: RNAcentral
AGAGACCGGCGCACGGGUGCGUAACGCGUAUGCAAUCUACCUUUUACAGGGGAAUAGCCCAGAGAAAUUUGGAUUAAUGCCCCAUAGUAUGAUUGAAUGGCAUCAUUUAUAACUAAAGUUCCAACGGUAUAAGAUGAGCAUGCGUCCCAUUAGUUAGUUGGUAAGGUAACGGCUUACCAAGACGAUGAUGGGUAGGGGUCCUGAGAGGGAGAUCCCCCACACUGGUACUGAGACACGGACCAGACUCCUACGGGAGGCAGCAGUGAGGAAUAUUGGUCAAUGGGCGCAAGCCUGAACCAGCCAUGCCGCGUGCAGGAAGAAGCAUCUAUGGUGUGUAAACUGCUUUUAUACAGGAAGAAACAACGCUACGUGUAGCGUCUUGACGGUACUGUAAGAAUAAGGACCGGCUAACUCCGUGCCAGCAGCCGCGGUAAUACGGAGGGUCCAAGCGUUAUCCGGAAUCAUUGGGUUUAAAGGGUCCGUAGGCGGCCUUAUAAGUCAGUGGUGAAAUCUCCUAGCUCAACUAGGAA